This is a long non-coding RNA of Papaver somniferum (opium poppy), 548 nucleotides long. RefSeq lists it as uncharacterized. NCBI's taxonomy places the organism in Eukaryota, Viridiplantae, Streptophyta, Magnoliopsida, Ranunculales, Papaveraceae. The transcript is spliced from 2 exons. The record is from RefSeq and is a predicted model, not a curated record.
GAUAUGUAGAGAUGCGCGACAGAGCUAUUGAUACACAUGUUCUUGGAAAACUCAAUAAUGGAGCACAAGAGGGAUCUGCAAACAUGGUGCUUGUACUGGAGCCAAAGGGUGCAGAAAGUUAACUACAGAGCCAGAACAAGCUGAAGCGGCAGCGUUUCUUGAGGCAGUCACUUGGGCUAAGGAGAAAAGGCUAACAAAAGUAAUUUUUGAAGGAGAUUGUUCAAAUGUCAUCAAUGCUGUGAAUGGGAACUUCUCAGCAGUUAAGUGGACAAACUUAAAUUUUAUUUCAGAUGCAUUAGUUUUUCUUAAACAAUUUAGGUUUUGGUCUUGUGUUUACUCUCAUAGAGACACAAAUAAUGUAGCUGAUGUGAUCAGCAAGUAUGCUAGGACUUCACCAAUCGGUCAAUAAUGGGAUCUAAAUCUUCCACUAUGGUUGAGCAAUGCCAUUCAAAUGGAUCUGAACAACUUGUAAAAGUCCUUUUUAUUAAUGAAUUUCUUUUUCUAUUAAAAAAAAUAAGAAUGUCCUCUUUUGAAAAUUAAACGAUCAA